UAGGGAGUGGGAGAGGUAGACGGUACUCGGGAGGAAGUGGUAAAAUGCUUUGAUCUCUCGAUGACCACCUGUGGCGAAGGCGGUCUACCAGAACACGUCCGACGGUGAGGGAUGAAAGCUGGGGGAGCAAACCGGAUUAGAUACCCGGGUAGUCCCAGCUGUAAACUAUGCAAACUCAGUGAUGCAUUGGCUUGUGGCCAAUGCAGUGUUGCAGGGAAGCCGUUAAGUUUGCCGCCUGGGAAGUACGUACGCAAGUAUGAAACUUAAAGGAAUUGGCGGGGGAGCACCACAAGGGGUGAAGCCUGCGGUUCAAUUGGAGUCAACGCCAGAAAUCUUACCCGGAGAGACAGCAGAAUGAAGGUCAAGCUGAAGACUUUACCAGACAAGCUGAGAGGUGGUGCAUGGCCGUCGCCAGCUCGUGCCGUGAGAUGUCCUGUUAAGUCAGGUAACGAGCGAGAUCCCUGCCUCUAGUUGCCACCAUUACUCUCAGGAGUAGUGGGGCGAAUUAGCGGGACCGCCGCAGUUAAUGCGGAGGAAGGAAGGGGCCACGGCAGGUCAGUAUGCCCCGAAAAU
Molecule: ribosomal RNA, 573 nt
Filed under: uncultured archaeon
Lineage: Archaea
Description: bacterial SSU rRNA
Rfam family: Archaeal small subunit ribosomal RNA
Source: RNAcentral